GACGAACGCUGGCGGCGUGCCUAAUACAUGCAAGUUGAGCGAUGAAGAUUGGUGCUUGCACCAAUUUGAAGAGCAGCGAACGGGUGAGUAACGCGUGGGGAAUCUGCCUUUGAGCGGGGGACAACAUUUGGAAACGAAUGCUAAUACCGCAUAACAACUUUAAACAUAAGUUUUAAGUUUGAAAGAUGCAAUUGCAUCACUCAAAGAUGAUCCCGCGUUGUAUUAGCUAGUUGGUGAGGUAAAGGCUCACCAAGGCGAUGAUACAUAGCCGACCUGAGAGGGUGGUCGGCCACAUUGGGACUGGGACACGGCCCAAACUCCUACGGGAGGCAGCAGUAGGGAAUCUUCGGCAAUGGACGAAAGUCUGGCCGAGCAACGCCGCGUGAGUGAAGAAGGUUUUCGGAUCGUAAAACUCUGUUGGUAGAGAAGAACGUUGGUGAGAGUGGAAAGCUCAUCAAGUGACGGUAACUACCCAGAAAGGGACGGCUAACUACGUG
This 497-nucleotide ribosomal RNA is filed under the name uncultured bacterium. RNAcentral describes it as "partial 16S ribosomal RNA". It matches the Rfam family "Bacterial small subunit ribosomal RNA", at positions 28 to 507 of the family's 1533-position model. The record is from RNAcentral.